This 402-nucleotide ribosomal RNA is filed under the name Triticum aestivum (bread wheat). Its description in RNAcentral is "partial small subunit ribosomal RNA". Lineage: Eukaryota; Viridiplantae; Streptophyta; Magnoliopsida; Poales; Poaceae. The record is from RNAcentral.
ACUAUCGGCAGGAACCAUGAUGGUCUCUACCUCGGAUCUUCAGCAAUGGUUUUUGAUAAAAUACAUGAUCCACCAAUGUUGGAAGCAUUGGCUUGCCGCGAGGCUCUUGCCCUAACUCAGGACCUAUAUGCAGACCAUAUUGUUGUUGCGUGUGACAACAAGACAGUUGUAGAGGAAAUCAAGAAGGGAUCAGAAGGAAGAUACAACAAUAUCAUCAAGGAAAUCCAAGCCCAAGCUAGACUUUUUGUUCGAUGUGACUUCAUCUUUGAAGGUCGAAAAGGGAAUAUUGAUGCUCAUAAUUUAGCAAAAUUUUGUACUUCUUUAGUUCAAGGUCGCCACGUGUGGCUGGGAGAACCCCAUGACACCUUUGUUAUUCCUGUAAACCGAGACAAUAAUCAAUAA